This 77-nucleotide transfer RNA is filed under the name Arthrobacter glacialis. RNAcentral's name for it is "tRNA-Pro". It matches the Rfam family "tRNA". From Rfam's summary of the family: Transfer RNA (tRNA) molecules are approximately 80 nucleotides in length. Their secondary structure includes four short double-helical elements and three loops (D, anti-codon, and T loops). RNAcentral also lists the same sequence under 41 other names. Lineage: Bacteria; Bacillati; Actinomycetota; Actinomycetes; Micrococcales; Micrococcaceae. The record is from RNAcentral.
CGGGCUGUAGCGCAGCUUGGUAGCGCACCUGACUGGGGGUCAGGGGGUCGCAGGUUCAAAUCCUGUCAGCCCGACCG